UACGUAGGUGGCAAGCGUUGUCCGGAUUUAUUGGGCGUAAAGAGCUCGUAGGCGGUGUGUCACGUCGGCCGUGAAAACCUGCAGCUUAACUGUGGGCGUGCGGUCGAUACGGGCAUCACUGGAGUUCGGCAGGGGAGACUGGAAUUCCUGGUGUAGCGGUGAAAUGCGCAGAUAUCAGGAGGAACACCGGUGGCGAAGGCGGGUCUCUGGGCUGAAACUGACGCUCAUGCACGAAAGCGUGGGGAGCAAACAAG
Molecule: ribosomal RNA, 254 nt
Filed under: uncultured bacterium
Lineage: Bacteria
Description: partial 16S ribosomal RNA
Rfam family: Bacterial small subunit ribosomal RNA
Source: RNAcentral